This 281-nucleotide ribosomal RNA is filed under the name Corynebacterium sp. J010B-136. RNAcentral's name for it is "partial 16S ribosomal RNA". It matches the Rfam family "Bacterial small subunit ribosomal RNA", at positions 1 to 280 of the family's 1533-position model. The record is from RNAcentral. Lineage: Bacteria; Bacillati; Actinomycetota; Actinomycetes; Mycobacteriales; Corynebacteriaceae.
UUUGUGGAGAGUUUGAUCCUGGCUCAGGAUGAACGCUGGCGGCGUGCUUAACACAUGCAAGUCGAACGGAAAGGCCUCUAGCUUGCUAGGGGUACUCGAGUGGCGAACGGGUGAGUAACACGUGGGUGAUCUGCCCUGCACUGUGGGAUAAGCCUGGGAAACUGGGUCUAAUACCAUAUAUGACCACCUUUUGGAUGGGGUGGUGGAAAGCUUUUGCGGUGUGGGAUGAGCCUGCGGCCUAUCAGCUUGUUGGUGGGGUAAUGGCCUACCAAGGCGGCGAC